UGGGGAAUUUUGGACAAUGGGCGCAAGCCUGAUCCAGCCAUGCCGCGUGCGGGAAGAAGGCCUUCGGGUUGUAAACCGCUUUUGUCAGGGAAGAAAUCUUCUGAGUUAAUACCUCGGGAGGAUGACGGUACCUGAAGAAUAAGCACCGGCUAACUACGUGCCAGCAGCCGCGGUAAUACGUAGGGUGCAAGCGUUAAUCGGAAUUACUGGGCGUAAAGCGUGCGCAGGCGGUUUUGUAAGACAGAGGUGAAAUCCCCGGGCUCAACCUGGGAACUGCCUUUGUGACUGCAAGGCUUGAGUGCGGCAGAGGGGGGAUGGAAUUCCGCGUGUAGCAGUGAAAUGCGUGGAUAUGCGGAGGAACACCGAUGGCGAAGGCAAUCCCCUGGGCCUGCACUGACGCUCAUGCACGAAAGCGUGGGGGAGCAAACAGGAUUAGAUACCCCUGGUUAGUCCACGCCCUAAAGCGAUGUCAACUGGUUGUUGGGAAGGUUCCUUCUCAGUAACGUAGCUAACGCGUGAAGUUGGACCGCCUGGGGAGUACGGCCGCAAGGUUGAAACUCAAAGAAUUGACGGGGUCAUAGCUGUUUCCU
This 590-nucleotide ribosomal RNA is filed under the name uncultured bacterium. RNAcentral's name for it is "partial 16S ribosomal RNA". It matches the Rfam family "Bacterial small subunit ribosomal RNA", at positions 355 to 1375 of the family's 1533-position model. The record is from RNAcentral.